AUAAGGAGAAAGAAAGAAGAUUAUUAGUUCUGCUCUCUCAACCUAGAUUAGAUAGAAAGGGAAAAAAAAUAGCACGUUUUCUUCUUAAAGGUAGAUCUUGGAGUUAGAACUGUGUAAGGAUGAAUCAUGUUUGACUAGAGUGAAAAGCAGCUUACGAGGAAGGUGAAACUAAAUCUGAAUUGAGCUUCUAUAUAGGAUUAAAGGGCUGGGGUUUCAAGAAGCGGGCUGGAAGAUGUAAGAUUUCUUUACGGAAACGAGGUGGAUAUGUGUUGUGCAAGUCUGUCUUUCUUAUUGAUGGGUGUUGUGUGGUAUACGUUGGUUGGUUAUCCUGCGAGGAGUGUAUGUUUUUCCCAACAACUCUUUGUGUCAAGUGAAGGUACCGUAGUUGAAGGCAAAGAAAAGGAAGGAGAAUACUACGUGUGGAUUGAUUGAGGUCACUCUAGUAGUUAGCUGGUGUACAUUUUAGAUUCCCGUUUCUUGUUGCAUCCGUUUUUUGAGGUGAUGUUUACUACUGCUGAUGCGCCAUCUUUUUGUAUCAUAUACAGAUCUAGCAACUUGUGAAUAGGAGUUCUGUUGUAAAAUUAAGUAGUAAGUUAUAUGAAAUAUACCCACUGAAGUGUUGUACAUUGAUCAAGUGUCGGCUCCUCAGAUUACCUAUCAAGUAUGCUUUAAUCACUAUCAUCUCCUUAGUGGAUAGCAAAUCUAGUGAAUAAGAUUAGUGUUCGUAUGUUUCAAAUUAAGAAUAAUUGUAGAAUCUGUAUCCACCAAAGCAUAUGAGACUUUAGGUGAGCAUUUGUUAAUAUCAAAUUUGAUUACUUUC
Papaver somniferum (opium poppy) is the source of this 820-nucleotide long non-coding RNA. RefSeq lists it as uncharacterized. The transcript has 4 exons. The record is from RefSeq and is a predicted model, not a curated record. Lineage: Eukaryota; Viridiplantae; Streptophyta; Magnoliopsida; Ranunculales; Papaveraceae.